Molecule: long non-coding RNA, 316 nt
Filed under: Suricata suricatta (meerkat)
Lineage: Eukaryota; Metazoa; Chordata; Mammalia; Carnivora; Herpestidae
Description: lncRNA (ENSSSUG00005003698.1)
Source: RNAcentral
UGCCCUCCCCCGAUGGCUCUGCUCUCCAGGCAGGAGCCUGUUUACUCCUUCCCGUUGCACUGAUGUUCUAACACGACGACACUGAGUGACUUGGGACAGCCCCCAGAUGUAGAUCUGACAAGGCCGUCACUUGGCAAUGACCCCACUAGGCCUUUCAGGCACCAGGCUGGCUGUACAGUUUUUUGGAAGGGAAAAGCAGCUGUCUUUCUUUCCAGGAGUGGUUCUGCACCUAUUCAGACUGACAGAUGAGCAGAGCUCCAGUUGGGUCCAAGUUCUGUCAGGGGCCCAGAGUGAACUGGGAGGCCCUCCCUCCUGA